AUUAACAAAUAUUACAAAGUGUUGCCAAAAGCCAUAAACAAGUUUUAUUUAUGAUUGUAAUAUUAAAGAGAGAAGAGAGAAAAAAAAGUACAUUUGAUAUUGAAAAUACUACUUGAGACACACAAACUGUAGUUAAUUGUGAAUUCAUUGAUUUAUGAAAAGUCUUUGUAGUGAGCUGAAGUGAAUCAGAAUCACUUUUAUCACCAGUACGGGUGUACAAGGACAUGAAAAAGAAUUAAAUCAAAAUAUACAACAAAUAAAUUACUAUAUCAAUCAAUUAAUCAACCUUUAUUUCGAGUCAGGCACAACAAAGAAGGAGGAAAAUAUAAAAAGGUUGAAUACUGACAAAGUAAAAUGAGUCUCGCUGAGGGCCAGAAUUAAAAAAAAAGUCACAAUAAAAAUAAUUAAAUGUUGAUAUAAAGUGUAGUUACUUUCCAACGUACGGGGAAUGAAGCCUGAUCCGGUCAGUAGCUGCUGAUUAAUGAAUGAAUAAAUAAUUAGAAUAUAUUAAAUCUGCUGGACGGUGACAACAACAACAACAACAACAACAACAACAACAACACUGGCUUCACCUCAGUGUCUUUGUUUAUGACGGUUAUCCUCCGUAUCAAGCUGCUCUGAUUCUUUUCCUCUCUCCAUUUUUCUGCAUUUUUACGUCCGAUCAAUGAUGCAGCAGCACUUUGUUUACUGUGGUGAUGAAGGAAUCAUCUCGCAGCACCAGAAACAGAAAUACGGGCUCUUUCUGACUCUGAUGGGAAAUCCAUCGCUCCGAAGGCCCCGCAGCACGCCGCCAUCUUUAAACUAUUGACCGCGGAAGGUGCGAGGAGUUUUUCGCCGGUUUUCCAUCACUGCUCGUCUCCGUCCCAUUACAACAGAUUCGGGUCAGAGAACUUGACGAAUGAUUGGCUGUGUCUCGGUGACCCCGCCGGCCCAAUCAGCACGGGGACGUGUGGUUGAAAUUGCGGGGCAGAUAAUGUUGCUGGCAGACGCGUCAUUAAUUACUGCCCUUCUAUCAAUAUCUAAUUAUACCGGCUGUCUGGCUGAGCGAGAAGGAAGAUGGACCUCUUACUGGAAGUCUUUAUAUUGGCAAUAUAGCCACCAAGCCGUGAUGGCGUCCCCCCCCCACCACCACCAUCCCACCUUAAAGCAGCCACUUUUUUUUUUUCCAGCCGGGUCGUCGCUGCCCGCAGCUCAAGCCGGAUUUCAUUUUAGCUGUUUAAUCAGAGACUAUUUUACUCCUGGGAUGCAAAGUGAAUGCAAUUAAUUUCCAUUAACCACCUGGUAGGAAAGAUAAAACGACAGCAGUGUGAGUCCGAGAACAACAGCCUUAAAAUAAAGCCUCUCAUUUACACCUCGGAUGUGUUCUGUCUAUAUUAAGCUCAUUAAUGUCGGGGCUUGUUUUUUAUUUUAAAUUGGAUAUUUCUCUCAACACGACAGAUUUGUUGUCGCACACACUGUGGUUUGUUUGGUUUUUUUUCCCUUCUGAAAAAAACUGAGCAGGUCAGUUUAAAAAUGGUUUUCACCUGGAUGUUAUUUCUCCGUUUAUUUCUUUCUCCGUCUGCGAGAAGACGCUGACCGCCAAUUUAUAAUAAACGAGGUUCCUCUUGUGACAAGCAGAACUCAAUAAACUCCGCCAGAUAAAGAAGAAAAGGAGUCGGGGAGAGAAAAAUGUAGAAACUCGAGCAGAAUACGAACAAGAAGCUGAGUCACGGGCAGGUUGAGGAACACGAGCCAACCAAACCCUGUACAAUUUUCUGAGCAUUUAAGAAUUCUACAUUUUGUUUGUUUACUUGAUGAACCGUUUAAAUUAUGUUGUCUGUCAUUAUAUCUCCCUACAUUUUAGUCUUGUGUCUCUGUGUAUAUAUGAAGGUGGAAAUUAAAUUUAUGGUUCUGCUUAAUCUAAAAAAUAUAUAAAACUGACUCUGCACGACCGGACAAGAAGAAAAACAAAUACAUUUAUUCUAAGAGCUAUUUUUCUGACAGUUGAAUCUACUUUGAUUUGAUUUAUUUAUCUAAAAUGCAAAAAUAAAGUAAAUCCUACAUACAUUUUAAUGUACGGCAGAUCAUUUUGAAGAAAACAAUUAAGUGACAUACAUUUGAACUUAUUUUGAAACAAAUUUAUCUUGUUCCAUGUUCAUUGUUUUUCAUACUAUUGUUUUCUUGUUUUCUUAUUUUUGAAGCGGCACGUUCCCAGUUUUUUUUUCUGUUAGUCACUUUUCUUCCAUUCUUUAAGAGUUCUGGCACAUAUUGAUCUAAAAAUGUGUUUCUCCAUCGAUCCAUCACUUGAUCGAUUGUUCCAAAAAUGUUCAACUCAAAGGAUUGUAAGCAAAAAAAAAAAAAAGAAAGAAAAGAAAAAUCAUCUUUCACUUAAAGAAAACCAGAAUAAACCUUCUCCUCUCCGCGUUUUCAUUUCUGAAUCGUCCUUCACUUGGGAAAAAAAGAAAAAUGAAGGCUGCUCUCUCAAACAACGCCACAAAGUCUAAACCAUUUACAGCCACGUCGAACUUAAAGUACUUAUUUUUUAUCAAACGGGUUAUUUAUAGGGUAGAUAAUGUCCCAGGGAAUAAAACUUUUGUGCGUUUCAUCAGUAAAACAGCUAAGAAAGAUGGCAGCGCUAUCUGCAAAUUUUGGACCUGAAACAAAAGCGCCAUUAAGGUUUUAAUCAGCGUGCAGUAGGAAGAGCACAGUGCAUUAGCCGAGGCAUGAAGCAGGGAGCCGGGCUGGUUAUUUUGGCAGUUAGAUCAUUGUUGCAUUAAUGUGUUUCCCUCAAGAGGACGAUGCAGCUGUCCUUGAGUAAAGCACUUAAAUGCUAUUGCCUCAGUAAAAACUCGGCUGCUGAGCGGUCGGACGGGGAGGAAGGACUGCGGAUAGAUUGACCUGCUGGUCUGUUCUGUGUGGCGGAGGUGAACGUCGGGCUGUAGGGUGGAAAUAAACGUGAAUGCACCCGAACGGUGUGAAUACAAAUACCAUCACACAAGAUAAAAUGAGAUAAUCCCUUGUUGUGGCGUCGCUCUUGAACUAAUGCGAGUGUUAAACCGCUUCAAGCAAAUUGACAUAGUGGCGCAAUCAGUGGGAGUAAUAUGAUACUAUCAGCUAACAGUGUACAGCAGGAUGUUAUGUAAUAUGAUCACAGACAGAGAGAUACAUUCCUUUGUACUCUGUCAGUCCCAGUGGGAAAUCGUACCGUUACCGGAAAAAACAGACAAAGUAUAAUAAUGAUUUUGUAUUCGGUGGAGAAAAGAAGAAGCUAUUUACUGGCUCCAAGUCCGAUCCGCUGCGAUGGAAACAUCAUUUGUGCCGCGAGUUCAAAGGUAUAAUAUUAUGCAAAAAUUCUCCAUUUAAAUGUCUUAAAACAACCAGACAUUUGUUUUAUAUUUGCUCGAGCCGUUCCCAACAAUGUUCAAACCCAGACAAACACACAGCCGCACCGAAGGUAACGCUGCAUUUCACUCUGUAACUUGAGGGAGCGAAGGAGGGAAGCCGGCGAAUGAGACUAAACGCAGCGUAAAUUAACUUUGACUGAGUCACCUCAGAUAUAUUUUCUUCAGUAAUGGUGGCUGUUUAAUGGUGCAAGAUGAGUCUGAGAGCCGGUGUGUUUGUGUUUAUUCCAACCCAAUCACCAGAAUCAGUGUUAGCAGAGGAAGAUUCUGCAGAACCGCAGAUAAGUUAUGUUGUAACUUCACCUUUGUUCAGGUCUUUCUUAUUCCAGCUCUGUGCUCACGCUCUGGUUAGGUUCAGGCACAGAAAACACCUGGUUAGGAUCAGAAAAAUAACAUGUUACUGCUUAAAAUACCUGAUUUGUUCACCACAAACAUGUUUCGCUUGGCCCGAGAUCUUUUUAAACAUAUCCAGCAGUAUUGUACAAAUGUCAUAUCCCAUGACGCGUACGUAUGGAUAUUAACUGUAAGCUUGCGAGCAGCAGCAUUGUUUUGGGUUUGAAACCAGAUCAAUCACUGAACUCACCAGAUCCUGCAGUUCUCACUCUCUUCUGUUCCCUUCGCCUCUCCGUAACGUUACGUUCAUGAAGUAAAGUUUGUUUCCCUUCCAGCUCCAGUAGGUAGUCAAAUACACACCUGACAAUAGAGGUCACCUCCGCGGAACCUGAUGCGACUCCGGUUGUUUAUUCCUCCAGAAGUUCUGGCUCUGCACGUUAUCACAAGCCAACAAGGCUGCAAGACGAGAAACACUACUGGAGACAUUUCCGAUCUUUUUAGUGGCGUGAAAACCAGCGACCUGAACCGGCUAUUUUUCAUGGAAAGUCCGUCCAUCUCCAUCCUUGAACAUGGCAACCGAACCAGGUAUUGUAAGCCAAACUAUUAAGUAUUCUGCACCCUAACCAAGAGGCUUUUGUGUCUAAAUCUAUCUUGUGUCUAAAAUAGAAAAUUCAUCCUAAACAACAAAAAGAAACGUCCAGUUUUAAAUUACCUGUGGUUUUUGCAGAGACUUACUUUUACUAAAGCCUGCUACUUGACAUGCUACAGGUAUAAAACAAACACCUGCCAUGUUACUUUUGUUUGACACCUGACAUCGGUCCAGUCGUGCCAUCAACCAGCCGACGUCAUGUUUCCAUCAGCCAAAGUGGAGUGAAAUAGCAGAGCAGGCCUCAACUGUCUGAAACGUGAAUAUGGCUUCCGUUGCCUAUUGUCAGACUAAUGGCUUCUGUUCUCAUACGCACAAUUUUUGCACCGAAAUUCACCCAUCACAGAGGCAGGAAUCCAUCACAAAAGAGGCCGGGACAAACACUUCCCCUCUGACAGCAGCCUCAAUAAACCAGCAAGUGAUGCAGCCAAAAAGUCGAGUUUCGAGUGAAGAUUGUGGCCGCAAUUUUCUCCGACUUUCAAGGCUAUCGGCGAUGUUAUUGUCUGUUCUCGGGUACAAAAACUUUCUUUCUCAGAGGUCCACCGGCCGGUCCGGGCGCGGGUGCAUUAGACGGGUUGAGUGGUGACAGGAAAAUGUGGGGAAAAAAGUAAAAAGACGAAGCGUGUUUCCGUAACGUUUCUGCCAAAAAGGCCGCAGUGAUUUCUGGUUGUGUUGGGAGACAGACGAGCCGGUCGUCCAGCAGCACCUGAUCCGUCACCUCCCCGCCGUCUCGCCUUCCUGCAUGACUCAAAAGAGCAUAAAAAUCCUCCGGCAACCGCAGGUCAAUUAUCGUCAGUGAGCCCCUGAGCGCAGAUUAUUUCACAGACGACUUCUGGGAAUGAUAAUCAAUGCUUCCGGCUGUCAGCGGGAGCUACCUGGAAUUAUUAAAAAGACCAGGAUAAACUCCUGGGGGGGAUUUUUUUGUGGAGAAAAAGGAAAUGUUUUGUCGUUCAUUGCAUUCUUCAAACGCUUCUUGUUCCGCUGCCACAUCAAAUUAUUCUCCCUCCUGUGUACACCUGUCUUCACAUCUUCCAGGGAGCCUCGUGGAGGAAUGCCGUGUCAAUAUUCUUGUGAGCGGAAGACGUCUGCUGUUGUUUCCUGACACAGACAAGUUCAUGUGGUGUUCUCAUAAGGACACAUUUGCACUGAGCUGAGCAAACCACGUUAAGAACUCCUCCGUAAGAUCCGAGCGGUUCUUCCUCAUACGAGCCGGUUUUACUGUACAUGAAGCUCCUCUUACUGUACGUCUCUGCAGCUGGACUGUCACGGACUGGAGAGGAUUAGAGAGGCUUCAUCGUACGCAGAACUGACUCAGACCUUCGACUGAUGUUCUUGUAAUUUCACGGGUAUUUUAGAUCUUUUUUUUCCUGUGUAAAUGUUCCCACGAGCUGGAGGAGAGGCAGAGCAGUGAGGUGAAAUCCAGUGCCAACGCGAUUUUAUUUCACGCUCUCUAUGAUAUCUGCACGUGGCAGCUAUGGUGUAGUUACGAUUAGGGAAAUGUUGUUGUUAUGGCAAUAAACUAAAGUUUGGUUCAUAACCGCACUGUAUUUGCACUCUUAACUGUAUUUUUAGUCCGUUCGUAUUGCAUUUCUUCUGGUGGUGGCAGUGCAACAACCAGGAAACUUUAACAGUUUGUCGUUUUCUCCUCAGCUUGAAGUUUGCUGGGUGACGUUUUGGUGCCUCGAACGCUGCAGCCCGAAACAUCAGGAUGAAAUGAUCACAACGUUUUCUGCAGAUCGUUGACGCGCUCACACGUUUUCGUGUCAGAAGCUGCGUAUCAUCUUGGCAUUUCGACAAAACAUCACGUUCGCAUCACGUGUUUAUAAUCUGGCGUUCACGUCUGAGGAGGGUGGAGGGAGAAUCAACUCGUAAGUCUUUGUAAUUAAACUAAUUAAAUCAACAAAACAAGUUUUAUGACAAAUUGCAACUUUCUCAAGAUGAAAAACAUUGUAAACUGAACAUCGUAUGUGUGAUAUAUGACAUAAUUUAACAGGAUUGAAAAAUAAACAUGAGGCAAACGUAACGGGUGCGACUUCAGGACACGUUGCAAAUUACAACCAACAUCCGAGUUAGUUAGCAGUCUUCAUGCAGAAAAUGGCAAAUUUGGUUGUAAAAAAAAAUAAAUAAAUACGCUCAAAUGCUGCAAAUGUUCCACCAAAACAAGUUCCCCCGGCACUGUUUUUGCCAGGGCACCAUCUGCUGCAGCCUGAGAUUUUUUCUGCCAUCCAAGACCUGAUUGUGAUUUGUUAGAGAAAAGAUGGAGCAUUUCUCCCUCCACUGCAGGAUUACCCAGGGUGUAGUGGAGAUAGAUCCGGUUGUCAUCGACUUGGUUCAAGUAAAUUAAACUAAAAUUACUGUUCAGGCAUUUGAACAAACUGUAGUCUUGUGAAGACGGUCAACUUAUCGAUUAAAGCGAUUCAGCACCAAGAA
This is a long non-coding RNA of Acanthopagrus latus (yellowfin seabream), 6789 nucleotides long. RefSeq lists it as uncharacterized. The transcript has 2 exons. The record is from RefSeq and is a predicted model, not a curated record. Lineage: Eukaryota; Metazoa; Chordata; Actinopteri; Spariformes; Sparidae.